Parus major (Great Tit) is the source of this 3173-nucleotide long non-coding RNA. RefSeq lists it as uncharacterized. NCBI's taxonomy places the organism in Eukaryota, Metazoa, Chordata, Aves, Passeriformes, Paridae. The record is from RefSeq and is a predicted model, not a curated record. The transcript has 3 exons.
CUGCUGUGACUCCUGGGGCUGAAGGAUGAGCAAAGAAAGCCCUACCAGGAGGUGGUAGAAAAGCAAGGGUUAGCCAAGUACAUCUUUUAUUACUGCAUCAGGUGCAAGGAUCUAGCAGACCCCACAGGAAGGAGAGAGGAGCUGCUGCAGAAAUUUGGUUUCUACUGGGCUGCAAGUUCCCCUUGCUCACAAAAGCAGAUCAACAUAAUACCAGGUCUCUCUUCAAAGCAAUGAUGCAUUUCCUGGGAAGAUGGAACUGUUUGCUGAGACUCCAAGAAGUCUUGGAGAAGCUUUAAGAAGACUUUAAAGAUUGCCAUCCAGCUGUUCUACAUUUGAUGAGGUGUAUGUGACAAGGUGAUGGCACAGUGUGACGUGUCCUCAUGAGAUGAGUAAGGGAAGUCAUCAGGGCUCUGGCCAGUGAUGUGACAGAAAACUCAAGAAAUACAGCAAGAAGACAUGUUGGAGAAAGUCCCAGAGGUGAAACUCUCAUUGGUCAUUAAAGCAGCACAUCACCAUCACUGGUUAAGUGGAACAUCACCCCUGGACUGUUUUCCUAAACUCCACCUGCAAGGAUUGUUGUCCUUUACCAAGGACUGCUUGGAUUCUUUCUCGUGCCUUCUCAGAAUGAGGAACCUGUAAUUUUGUUUCACACAGGUUCUGUUCCCUUCUUUUUGCAUUUAGCAUCCACAUCUCUUACCUAAUAUCUCUUUUACCCAGAGGUGUCCUGACCAAAGCAAUUCAGCACACAUCUGAAUGCCACUGCUGGAAACAAAGAUCUUCUAGAUCUGGCUACAUUUAGACAAGACUCCUGUUGAGUUAUGGGCUACAAGGCCACUCUGAACAGUCUGUUAUCUGCUGUGAUGCAAAGGGCACAUCACACCUUCCCUCCUGGAACAGUCACCUGAAAGCAUCAAUGUCCACACCUAAGGCAGUGCUGGUGUUCUCUACAGCACUCUCACAACUGUAAAUAUCACAAAACAACUUCAGGAGAAGACCAUUGAUUGUAAAGCCCUUCUUUUUUCAUCUAAAUAAACAUAUUUUUCCUUUAAAUACAUUGAAGAAAAUCAGGAAUGCUGCAAGAGGAAUUCUAUAGUACAUUCUGUAGUAUCACAGCAGCUUACCCAACAGUGUUGUACCAACAUAUAACUGCACAAGGCAUUGAACAGCAUGGUCACCUCUAGAGCUUAGAGCCCUGCUGUCAGCAAAUCUGGCUGUAAGCCUGACUUCAUAUCAUCAUUUCAUUGAAUGACUAACCCAGAAACUUCUGUUGGAUUUGCCUGCAAUCAGCCAGUUAACACCAACAACGAAAAACAUUCUUUUAUUUUUGCUUCUUCCAUCUAGCACAGUAUCAGAAAAGCCUGCAAGCCCAGCACAGCUGUAGAAUCUUUCUAAUUGCCUUGACUAGCUACUCAGGUUAGAAACAUAACAUUAGGCUAGUUAGGAAAUGUAUCUUUUUCCUUUGAAUUUGCCCCUCAACCUGGCCUGCUCCAGGCUGGCCAGGGUCCUCCCACCACUCCCACUCAAUCAAGCUUGCUCUAGAGGGGAGCACAAGCUCUUUUACAAAAUUAUCAGCACAAAGCUUCUAUUUCACCAAUUACUCUUCCCUGCUGCCCUAAUCAGUGCUUCAUGGGUCUGACACUUAGGAGGAUAAUUAUUUUCUCUGUAAAUACCUUUCUGUGGCCUCUAAAGAGACAAAACAAGCCCUGCAAAAACUUCCCACAAAGGCCAAUCAGUGCUGGCUCCUAUUUCCUGCCACCAGCUCAGCACAAUUAACUCCUGACACCUGAUAGGAUUCAUUGCCUUGUUCUUUAAAACACCACAGUUUCAGCUUGAUGCCAUGAAACAAUAUUUUCAAAUUACAGCAGCAGCCACUCAUGCAGUGGAAACGAUAAAAUUUCCACUCAAUGCAUGUUAAUUGGAUUAUUAUUUUAAAGUCAUGCUCACCGCCCCCACAUUAAUAACAAAUGAGCUCCCUCUAAUUAUUAUUAGAGUAACUCCCAUGCAAAUUAAUGAUUAGGCCAUAAACACCGUGCAGCUGACUUGCCAUUAUUCUCACAUUUGAGCAAAUCAGCUAAUAAAGUGACAAUAAAAAGGGAAAUUCUUUUAUGCAUUACUGAAUUCCUUUACUCAUACCACAGGCAUACAACAAAGGGCUGUUAACCACUUUUUCCUUUCACAAAAUGUUCAACUGAAAUUAUUCAUCAUUGUCUGGUAAAAAAUGACUGCAAAAAGCUGCAUUUGUCAGUCUUGUGUGUUUGUAAACAAUGUUUUAACCACUGCUCACAGGGUACAGUGUAACCAGACAGUCAAGGAUAUAACAUGAUCAGGAUAACCCAAAGUUUUAGAAAUAGUUGUUCUACAUGCAACAGCACCAAAUAAUAGCUGAUAACCAUUGAAGGAUUUUUUACAUGUGUAGGACUUCUAAACCAACACAAACUAUGCUUUCCAAAGGGAUUUAAACUAAUCACUCUUUAUAAUAUAUUGGUACUAUACUACUUCACACUGAUGAGCAGAGGAAUUGAGUUUCUAAAAUUGCAUGAAUACAUUAUAAUAAAAGUAGAAAACCUGUUCCUUGCUAGCCCCCCCACACCUUUCUGACUCAUUUACCAAUCAGUUUCCCAUUCUGUAGUCAUCCCAUAAAACUCAAGCAUAGCUCACAGCCAUCUGAUAAACCUUCAAGCUCCUCAGACUUGCUGUGGUCUGAGCUCUCCAAGCUCCUGAAUCACAGUCAUUUGAAACUCUCAGAUAAGGGAGACCUUUCCCUCCACCCUCACCUUCAACCCAUUUCUUACUAAUCUCAGGUUUAGAUCAUAAUUUUUGUAUUUUGAAUAUAGUUGCAUUCAUUACCAAACACACACUAUUAUCUUUAUAUUUCUACAUUAUGAAAAUUGGAAUUUGCUGGGAAAAUGCAAGUUGUACUGCAGAAACCAAUAUCCAUUAGUUUUCCAGACAGAAUACCCACGAACAAGAACACAUAAAAGAUGCAGAGCUCUGGAUAUGAUUACAAUGCUCUUUGGUGCAGAAGGAGUAAAGAUCUCCCUGAUUAACUUAAAUGAUCAUAUUGCUCACAGUAGCAAAACUACAUCAUUUGAUAUUAAUGCCCUUGAUGCUGAUAUUAAAAUCACCCAACUGAUGUAAGAGAAAAUGUUCAGUACCUCCUUCAGGAAUGAUGA